UCGUCCAGAUAAAUUUCCAAGGGAAACCCGAGUCCCCGUUCGAAACACGAACCCUCACCACCUCUCUCGCCGUUUCCUCUCUUCUGUUCUACUGCUUAUUGGCGCUCGUUGGAUACCUGUCUUUGGCUCCCGCUUGUUGUGCCCGAGCGUUCCCCAUUUUGAUGAUGCUCGCCGCGACGCUCUCGGUCGCUUCCUUCACGUCGUUGUUGUUCCGGCGCCCCUUUCACUCUUUCCCGUAUCUCUUGUCAUUAGUGUUGCUUUCCAUGCUCCUCUUGUCUAUUUUCGUCCACGUGUUCCGUCCUAGCCAACCGGCAGACCAGCCGGCAGACCAGCCGCUUUUGCCCGUUGUGGCCCCUCCGUUUCGGAAUCAGCAGUCGGUCCAGGUCGACAGGGCCCCGAAUGUCCCACCGAGUGCCCACCACCAACACACCA
RNAcentral lists this long non-coding RNA (432 nucleotides) under Eucalyptus grandis. Its description in RNAcentral is "long non-coding RNA (EGRA_LNC005640)". Lineage: Eukaryota; Viridiplantae; Streptophyta; Magnoliopsida; Myrtales; Myrtaceae. The record is from RNAcentral.